GAUUCCCUCUGCUCCACAGGAGAUGCAGCGAGCACCAAAGAGCCUUCCUCCAGGAUUAAGCCUGAUGCAGAAGUGGUUACACUGACUACGGCAAGCUGAGCCCUGCCGGCUGUUGUGCGCUCCGUGGAAAGGGAGAAGCACGGUCUCCAGCGGCUGCGUCAGGAGUGGUGCCUUGUGCACACCUCACAGGGAGAGAAGUCUCCAACGGACUGAGCGGAGGAAAAAAGAAAAAAGGAGAAAAGGAAAAAGAGCUGCAUACCUGGCAGGCCUACUGUGUGCAAAGCCCUUGAGUGACACACCCUAUGACCCACAGCACUGUGGCAAUCCCAGGGCCGCACCAGCUCUCUCUCCUUCCCCUCCUCAGGGCCACACCAACUGUGGGGUUCCAGCUAUCACUCUGUGCAAAGGACUCCUAACAUGGGUGUCCUCCGUCUCACCCCAUAAGCCACACUGGCCAAGGCCAGGCAGGCACCACACAUCGCGAGACACAUGCUUGGUCACUGGGCUGUGGAACAUACAGGAGCCCCGUGCUCCGGAACACGGACCACCCGACAGGAGCACGGACACAGCAGUCGGGGCGACGUGGGUGCCUCACAGAAGAGGGAAAAAGCCAGGAGGGCGGCACGUGGGCGCAAAGUUCUCAGCUUCGUUAGUCAUCAAGAAAAUGCAAACUAAAACCAAGGUAAGUGUGAGGGUUACUACUGAGUUUCAACUUGACUGGACUAAAGGAUGUGUAACUGUUCCUGGGAGCAUCUUGAGGAAGCUGCCAAAGGAGAUUCACAUUGAGUCAGUGGACGGGGAGAGGCCGACGAACCCUCCAUCUGGGGGGGCAUGAUCUCAUCAGCUGCCAGCACGGCAGAUCUGCGGAAGCACUGGACUGGCUGAGUCUUCCAGCCUCCAUCUUUCUUCCAUGCUGGAUACUUCCUGCCCUCGAACAUCAGACUCCAAGUGCUUCAGCUUUUGGGUUCUUGGACCUACACCAGUGGUUUGCCAGGGGUUCUUGGGCCUUCGGCCACAGACUGAAAGCUGCGCUGUUGGCUUCCCGACUUUUGAGGUUUGGGGACUCGGACUGGCUUCCUGGCUCCUCAGCUUGCCAACAGCCUAUUGUGGGACUUCACCUCAUGACUGUGUGAGUCAAUACUCCCAAUAAACUCCCCUCCAUAUAUACAUUUAUCCUAUUAGUGCUGUCCCUCUAGAGAACCCUGACUCGUACACACAAGUACUGGUGAAGGGGUGGAGCAAAGGAAACUAGUCCACUCUCAUCAGGGCCAACUCACGCACCUGGCAAUCUCUACUCAUACUGAACACAAGUAUGCCCUAUAGCCCAGCAAUGCCAUUCUGGACAUACACGUCCAAAAGA
Molecule: long non-coding RNA, 1360 nt
Filed under: Homo sapiens (human)
Lineage: Eukaryota; Metazoa; Chordata; Mammalia; Primates; Hominidae
Description: PREDICTED lncRNA (TCONS_00099162)
Source: RNAcentral